ACUACUAGUAUUCUUUUAAUAUUUGCUUCUUUGCCUUACUUUUAGUUGUAAUGAAUGCUGUUAAGUGUUUUAAUGAUUAUGUUAUCCCUGUACUUAUUUUAGGUCUUUAUAAUGGUUUGAUAAAAACAGUUAAGUGUGUAUCAAACAUAAUGUGAUUAAGCCAAUGUAGAUUUUGCAUGUAAAGCUUGUUUUAAGUCAUUGUUAUCUCCCCAUUGCAUAUUAAAUUAAAAAUAAACCAUAUAAUUGUUUAAGUUAUAAAUGCUUUGUAUCAUAAUUGUAUGUAAUCAAAAGCAAGUCAAAAAAAAAAUGAAGCUGAUUGUGAAGAACUUGACAUCUUUUUGGCUCAAUGUAGCUAGGUCAACAGACUACAUGUAUUCAAAGUGCUCACUUAAGGGAAACCCUGUCCGCUUAAUUGUAUUUCUGAAAUGCACACACCCUUUACAUAUCUGCCUAGCUUGAGUAUAUUAUAUCAUUAUGUAAUUAGCAUUGUAUGCAUUGAACGCAUGUGUAUUAUAGGCAUGGGAGUUGCACUUAUAUUCACAAGGACAUUGCUAUACACGGAAGAAUGGAUGAUUGUUUUAGCAUUUACAAUUGAUUUAUUGUUUCACAAAUCUCAUGAUUGUAGUGUAUUGUCAAUUGUUUAACGACCAAGCUAUUGAGCUGAAAUAUUAAUAGCAUGUCCUUGACUGAUAACAAAAUCUUUGAUAACGUAGUAAACAGUUACCGACACCUGAGACAUGCAAAACAAAACAUAAUCAGGUGGUUUCUAUGGAAGAUAUGCAUUACCUGGGUAUGCAGGGUAUCACAAUUGCCAUUGAUCUCUAAGAUUUCAAAAUAGCGCUUGUAAUUGGAUAAGCAUUAUUUUUAGGCCAUACAAGUUUUAUUCUCUGCUAAGUGUCCCAAGGCAGGUAGGAUUUUGUACGAGUCUGACAGAAAAAUUAAUAUUUGAUAAUGUGAAAAAUAAAGUUGUAAUAUUUACAGACCCUGCCUCAACCUACACAAUCGAAUGCCCAUAUGUUUCUUUAAACCAUGAAGUCAUAAUUCUUUCAACUGUGGCAGUUUACGUAUAAUCAAAAUUUAAAAAUGUUGCUAUGUUUCUGGUUUCUUUUUCAAUUUUCUUUAGAAGAGUUGUCCUUUACUGAUCUUAAAAUUGUAGGAAUCCAAAUUUAAAAAAAAACUAUUGGUAAAAAUGAGAAAGUUUUUUUUUUGUAAGGGCAAACAACUUUAUUGAUCUUUAUAAUGCGAAUUUGUAAGUUUUCUUAAAUAUGGAAUAAGUGUGUUGUUUGCCAUAUUAGGAUUACCUUUGAAAUAUUUAAGUAAUCAUUGUAUAAAAUAUAUAUACAAUAUUCUGAGAUUGUAUGGUUUGUAAAUACUAAUUCUACUGAUGACAACUUAAGAUUGAUCUUGUAUAAUGCUUGUGUUUUGUUACUUAACCCUAAUAAUAUAGUUCAACUUAUUGUUUUAAAUUAUAAACAUAAUUCAUUAAUACUUAUAAUGUGAAGGUUACAUAUUGAUAGUUUUAUAUUUAUACAUUUUGUAUAUUCCAUCACUGCCAUGAAAAAAGGUUGUAAAAGCAAAUUUGUAUUGACUAGUUGUUUAACCUGCCUGGUUGGUAAAUUUCCAAAAAUUCAUUUGGACUCUUAAUGAAGAAUACAAUGUGUAUGGCCUUAUGCUGGCUAUGGCAUAUUCUCUUUUCUUAUAUAUAGCAGAGACAGUACAAAUCAAACUGGUUAGUUAUUUUAGUGAAAAACAUUUUUUAAAUGCCGUAUCGGUUAUUAAAGAGAUUUUAAGAAAAACUUGGCUCUCAAGAAUACCUCAAUAUUUCUAUAAAGUAAAAUUCAUCAAGAAACUCUAAUGGUGCGUAUUUUGAAUGAUUAAACAAUUAUUCUGAUUUAGUAAUGUUAGAAAAAGGGUUUCACCCCAUACUUAAAAUGUGAAGGGGCAAAUAAUUAAUAAUAUAAGACAUCACUCAACCCAGAAUCGCAUGGAGAAAUCACUAAAAUUAAAAAUGGCUUUGUGUUGAAGUGUCUUAAAGAUUGGUUUAUGGCAUCAUCAAUAGAGAAUCCACUAAUAAUCCAGUAAGAGUAUAAUAUUUUGUCUUCCUGUUCCAGAUAAUAACAACUAGUAUAUUGGCAAGUACCACAAGAUUACAAAUGUGAAACCAAUUCUUUUUGACAAUAGCCCAGCUAUAUAGGGAACAAGGAAGACUUCCUGUUAAAAUAUAUUAUAACUGUUCCAAUUUGAUAACACCCUUAGAUUUUAUACCACCAAGAUAAACUGAGAUUGAGUCAACCUGAAAGCUAAUAACAUGUAUUAAGUACUCUUAAGGGAGGUAUGAAUGUCCUGAAGAAUUAGUGACACCAAGUUGGUUACCAUAAAACAGAAACAAUGACGCAUUGUAUUUGUAGGGAAUAUAAGCAUUGCUAAAGAUAAAUUGUAACUGUUGAAUGGUAACUUGAAACUACAUGAGGAUCAGGUGAAACCAGCCUUUAUUUAAUCUUAUGGAAAUUUAUCUAAAAAUGCUCUGGUAAUGUAUUUUUCAACCUGAUUAAAUUUCAUUUAAAAAGUUAUGGCCAUCUAUGGUACAUUUAAACUGUAAGUUAUGCAGUAUUUACAUGCAGGUGUUGGUUUUACUGUCAGUACCUUAAGAUUUAUUAUUUAUAAAUGAUAAGAAUUAACACCGAGUAUGAAAUAUGGCAUUUUAUUGAAAUCCAGCACACCUGUGACCUGAAUAAACCAUAUUGAUCAGGAAAGACAAAUUUAUUGACAGAGUGAAUGUUUGGUUUGUCAAUAAUUCAGCAGGCCUAUAGCUUCAUAUUUGGAAUGAAUAAAGCUUUUGUUCUUUUGCACUUUGAUUUAACACUACUGUAAUUGAUAGGUUAGUGAUAAGCCAAAUGAAUCAAUCAAAAAGAUUUUUCUGAUUAGUUAAUUGUUUAAAUACAACAUUUAACUUUGCAUACAGUCUGAAGGUAACCUUGAGCUUAUGUGGAUUGCUUUUGAAACUUGACAAAAAACACAUGACAUUGAUUAUGAACUACAGUUAGGCUUCAUAUAUGUUCAAAAAUUGACGCUCCAAUGCUUUGCCAUUAUAUGGUGACACAAAAGCAUACAACUCACAGUAGCAUGCGAGAAGAACUGAUCCUCCACUACAAAUAUAAAUCUGAUAGCAUGUUUUGGCUUUUGUAAUUGAAGUCAAUGAUACCUGAUAGAAUUGCUGUACAUAAUUUAAACUUGUUUUGCAUUUCUUCAAACUGUUUAAAUUUACCUCGCCUACAUAACAUUUAACUGUUGGAAUGCAAGUCAACAGGAUAUUUUUAGGAAAAAGCAAUAGCUUAAGAGAGGUUUAAAUGUGUGAAUUAUGACUUAAGGUUUAGAAUUACACAGCUAUGCAUUAGGCAUGUUCUACAUUCUGUACAGGCAAUGACCAAAAAAUGCAUACCCUUCCCACAUAGAUAAGUUAUUAGCCAAGUACACAAUGAUCUGUUCAACUUAAGCUUUAUAAAUGUUUGUGUUAUAAAAAGCUUCAAUCAUGUUUACAUAGGCAAUAUAAAGGCAGUAAUUUCCCAAAUUUAUUUAUGCCAUAUUUCAAAAAUCAACAAUGAGAAAUAAAUCUGCCAUUGGAACAUAAAGAACAAUUAAAACAAUAAAUAAUUGCUCUUGCCCCAUAAUUGUACUUAGUUGAAAAUAGUAAUAAACGCUUGAAACAUCUGUCAAUACAUUACUCUGCAUGUUUUUCAUAUACAUGUAUUCCUUAAUUUUAUACUGAAUUAAACGUAUAUGUUGUUUAAAUGUGUUGUUGGCAUAAUUAUUAAUGUUAAUCUGUAACCAUGUUUUAUUUAUUGAAAGAUAAUGCACUCUGAAUUGUAUUACUAUUUUAAUGUGAUUUUGUUUCCCAAAUAUUGCAUUCUCAAUUUCUAACAAUGAUCAAACUUGGAUUUAUUUGAAAUGCACUAAUAUUAAAAUACUAAGCCACUGACUUAGUCUGUACAUACAUACUUGAAUGAUUCAUUGACAUUUUUUAGUAUUAAGAUAUUUCAAUUACUAAAAAGAUGUCUGUUAUAAUUGUUAUUUCAUGGAUUAGUAAUGAAUCACAUUAUUUAUUGCCUUAGAUUUUCUGAUGUUGCAUCCUUAUUGCAAGUUAUUUCCACCUGUUGUGUUGGAAUUGUCUGAUGGGGUUUGGUUUUGAGAAAUGACACUUUAAUACACGUAAUGUGUGUUGUUAAGAUUAAAAUUACAAACUUACAACAAAGCUGUGAUGAGUUUCCACCAUCAAUCUGCCAUUUAUUGGAUCUGUUUCCAUGGAAAUAUGAUGCCAUCUGAAAGUACAACCUGUUGCCAUGCCAUAUUGAUUGAGACAGAUCCUAAUCAAUGGUUAAAGGGUGGCUUUCAGACUUAAGAUGGUACAAUUUCUAAGUAGGUAAAAUCAAAAACAGACUUUGAACAAAGAUGCAUCAAUUGCUUUUACAUGUUGAAAUAACUGUAAUAUGCACUGAAAUGAGAGGAUACUUUCUUAGUUUUUUAAUUAAAUGUUGCACAUUUGAAUUUUAAUAUUACUGUUUUUACUUUUUUCCCUGUAUGCAUUGUUGUUUAUAUGAUGAAUUAAUGCACAGUUUUUGGUAAUUAUACAUGAAAAAAGGUUUUAAAAAAAGUACCCUAAACUACAUUAAUGCAGUUUUCUAAUAUUUAUGCCCCCCUUCGAAGAAGAGGGGGUAUAUUGCUUUGCUCAUGUCGGUCUGUCGGUCGGUCUGUCGGUCCGUCGACCAGGUGGUUGUCAGACGAUAACUCAAGAACGCUUGGGCCUAGGAUCAUGAAACUUCAUAGGUACAUUGAUCAUGACUCGCAGAUGACCCCUAUUGAUUUUGAGGUCACUAGGUCAAAGGUCAAGGUCACAGUGACCCGAAAUAGUAAAAUGGUUUCCGGAGGAUAACUCAAGAAUGCUUAGGCCUAGGAUCAUGAAACUUGAUCGGUAGAUUGAUCAUGACUCGCAGAUGAUCCCUAUUGAUUUUCAGGUCACUAGGUCAAAGGUCACGAUGACCCGAAAUAGUAAAAUGGUUUCCGGAUGAUAACUGAAGAACGCUUAUUCCUAGGAUCAUGAAACUUGAUAGGUAGAAUGAUCAUGACUCGCAGAUGACUCCUAUUGAUUUUCAGGUCACUAGGUCAAAGGUCAAGGGCACGGUGACCCGAAAUAGUUAAAUGGUGUCCGGAUGAUAACUCAAGAAUGCUUAUGGCUAGGAUCAUGAAACUUCAUAGAUACAUUGAUCAUGACUGGCAGAUGACCCCUAUUGAUUUUCAGGUCACUAGGUCAAAGGUCAAGGUCACAGUGACAAAAAACAUAUUCACACAAUGGCUCUCACUACAAAAGAGAGCCCAUAUGGGGGGCAUGCAUGUUUUACAAACAGCCCUUGUUUGUUAUUGUAAUAAAAAGCUGAAACGAAAAGCAUAUUCAAAAUCUGAACUAAAAGGAAGAGUUACAUUAAAUUUAACAUCUUGUUCAUGCUUCUAAUGUCUUGAUACUUAUAUACUGUUUAUAUCUGUUUAUAUUGUAUUAUUGUAUUGGUGAAUCAAGUGCUGAAAUAGAUGAAAGUGCUCUAUUAGUAACUUCAUUUUGGUUUCCUUUGCUAUUUCUUUGAGGUUUAUGAGUUUGUUUGUUAGUUCAUUGAAAUGUUGUUUUUUGUAAUAAACAUUUUCUGUAAGUUUGCAUCUUUUAAAUGUAAGUUUCAUUUUAUGUGUUUUAAUAAUGCCUUUGCUUUGGUUUUACUGUAUUUUGCUUAAAUGCACCUCUCCCUUAGUCAAUAGGUUCAUCCAUAGCCCCUUUUGUUGUUGGGCGCACAAUAAUACUUUGACCUACAGCAAUGAAAAUUGGUCUGAUGUUUACUUCUGGGGAAAAGAAAAGACCAAUAGAUGAAGGUUAAGGUCACUGGGGCUUGUAAUAGUAAAUAUGUUUCCAUACAAUAUCUUUAGAAUGCUUUGACCAUAUGAUUAUGUGACCUGGUUAACCCAUUAAUGCCUAACAUCUAGAAAAAAGGCCUUUGCAAACAGCGUAAACCCAGAUGAGACGCCGCAUGAUGCGGCGUCUCAUCAGGGUCUGCGCUGUUUGCUUAAAGGAAUUUCUGUAAGAAAUAUUCUAAAUAUAGAAAUACAUAUACUAGACAUCCAUAAUUUUUAAAAUAAAUUGAUCCAAUAAAUGGGUUAAGCACUUACCUUUGAGAAAGUGGAGAUGCCUACAGAUUUUGAUGUCACCUAGCCAAGAUCAUUAGGCCUUGUAACAGGAAAUUUAAUUUGUUUUUUUUUUUGUUGAGAGCACUUUGAAAUAACUUCUUGAAAUCUGUAAACGAUUGUUAUGGAAGGAAAAGAAGUUGCAUUUUGAUUUUGAGGUCAAAGAUCAAGGUUACAUUAGCUUGUUUAAAGAAAAAUGAUCACAUCAUGAUACCAAGAGAAUGCUAAACAUAUAUGAUCAUCGUAAUUGGUAUGCUGGUUACUUGGAAGGAAAUAAUGAUGUUUAUUGAUUGUUAAUGUCAUACAGUCAGAGGUCAUUGUCACAAAGGCUAGUUACAGGUAAUUCCUUUUCGUUCCAUAUCUUGAGUGUUUUGACCUGUGAUCAUACAUAUUUUUGUAGUGAUUUAAUGGGUGGAUAGUAAUCAGCCUAAUGAGAUUUAGGUCAUCAGUUCUAAGGUCACAAGGGCUCGAAUCAUGCAUUUGGUUUCCACACAAGAUCUAGAGAAUUAUUAGGAUUAUAUUUAUUAGUUUGCUGAUUGAUCUUUCAGAAGCAUGACCCCUAAUGAUUUUAAAAUCAAGUAGUCUAAGGUCAAGGUCACAGGGACAACUUUUCUGAAGGUUGGGAGUGGGGAAGCAGUAUACAUGUUUUAUAGACAUCUCUAGUUUUAGAUAAUGUAAUGUUUAAGUUGCACAGAAACACCCUUCAAUAACCAAGAUAUAUGCUUAUUUUCUACAUUUGGAAUGAAUGUCUGUGUGAAUAAAAUAUUAGUCAA
This is a long non-coding RNA of Dreissena polymorpha, 6989 nucleotides long. RefSeq lists it as uncharacterized. The transcript has 2 exons. NCBI's taxonomy places the organism in Eukaryota, Metazoa, Mollusca, Bivalvia, Myida, Dreissenidae. The record is from RefSeq and is a predicted model, not a curated record.